Molecule: ribosomal RNA, 531 nt
Filed under: uncultured bacterium
Lineage: Bacteria
Description: bacterial SSU rRNA
Rfam family: Bacterial small subunit ribosomal RNA
Source: RNAcentral
AAUAGAUACCCCGGUAGUCCACGCCGUAAACGAUGGAUACUAGCUGUUCGGAGUAAUCUGAGUGGCUAAGCGAAAGUGAUAAGUAUCCCACCUGGGGAGUACGUUCGCAAGAACGAAACUCAAAGGAAUUGACGGGGGCCCGCACAAGCGGUGGAGCAUGUGGUUUAAUUCGAUGAUACGCGAGGAACCUUACCAGGGCUUAAAUGUAGAUUGACAGGUUUAGAGAUAGACUUUUCUUCGGACAAUUUACAAGGUGCUGCAUGGUUGUCGUCAGCUCGUGCCGUGAGGUGUCAGGUUAAGUCCUAUAACGAGCGCAACCCCUGUUGUUAGUUGCCAGCGAGUAAUGUCGGGAACUCUAACAAGACUGCCAGUGCAAACUGUGAGGAAGGUGGGGAUGACGUCAAAUCAUCACGGCCCUUACGUCCUGGGCUACACACGUGCUACAAUGGUAGGGACAGAGAGCAGCCACUUCGCGAGAAGGAGCGAAUCUAUAAACCCUAUCACAGUUCGGAUCGGAGUCUGCAACUCGAC